CGGGGUUUAGUUCAGUUGGCUAGAACGCGCGCUUUGGGAGCGCGAGGCCGUCAGUUCGAGUCUGACAACCCCGACCA
This 77-nucleotide transfer RNA is filed under the name candidate division WS6 bacterium OLB20. Its description in RNAcentral is "tRNA-Pro". The record is from RNAcentral.